Molecule: long non-coding RNA, 390 nt
Organism: Eptesicus fuscus (big brown bat)
Lineage: Eukaryota; Metazoa; Chordata; Mammalia; Chiroptera; Vespertilionidae
Exons: 3
Source: RefSeq, a predicted model, not a curated record
UCAGGUGAGACCCUCAAGCUUGGAAAGUGUCAGGAGGGGUCUAUGAUGUGACUGGGCAUUCCAUUCUCGCAGAACCACCCAGGCUCUUGUCCUUUUUGAGGUCAGUGGCUGCUCAGGGCCUCUCAGUGGCCAGAGGCUGGCACAAUCAGCUGCAUGGGUGUUGGAGUCAUGAAGACCCAAGUUCUCAGACACACUCUUGAGUGUCACGGCUUUGCUCAGCUGGAUGGGCACUCGGGGAACCACCCUGCAACCCUUUCUGGGAGGGCUGAGUCUGGCCCAGAGGAUUGUCCCUCACACUCAAGAUCGGGAGGCUCCUCCUCCUCCUCCUCUUCAUCUUCCACCUCCUCUUCUGCACCUGGCUUGUCCAGCGGCGCCUCACCAUCCCGGGCC